RNAcentral lists this ribosomal RNA (1521 nucleotides) under metagenome. Its description in RNAcentral is "bacterial SSU rRNA". It matches the Rfam family "Bacterial small subunit ribosomal RNA". The record is from RNAcentral.
AGAGUUUGAUCAUGGCUCAGAUUGAACGCUGGCGGCAGGCCUAACACAUGCAAGUCGAACGGUAACAGGAAGCAGCUUGCUGCUUCGCUGACGAGUGGCGGACGGGUGAGUAAUGUCUGGGAAGCUGCCUGAUGGAGGGGGAUAACUACUGGAAACGGUAGCUAAUACCGCAUAAUGUCGCAAGACCAAAGAGGGGGACCUUCGGGCCUCUUGCCAUCGGAUGUGCCCAGAUGGGAUUAGCUUGUUGGUGGGGUAACGGCUCACCAAGGCGACGAUCCCUAGCUGGUCUGAGAGGAUGACCAGCCACACUGGAACUGAGACACGGUCCAGACUCCUACGGGAGGCAGCAGUGGGGAAUAUUGCACAAUGGGCGCAAGCCUGAUGCAGCCAUGCCGCGUGUAUGAAGAAGGCCUUCGGGUUGUAAAGUACUUUCAGCGGGGAGGAAGGGAGUAAAGUUAAUACCUUUGCUCAUUGACGUUACCCGCAGAAGAAGCACCGGCUAACUCCGUGCCAGCAGCCGCGGUAAUACGGAGGGUGCAAGCGUUAAUCGGAAUUACUGGGCGUAAAGCGCACGCAGGCGGUUUGUUAAGUCAGAUGUGAAAUCCCCGGGCUCAACCUGGGAACUGCAUCUGAUACUGGCAAGCUUGAGUCUCGUAGAGGGGGGUAGAAUUCCAGGUGUAGCGGUGAAAUGCGUAGAGAUCUGGAGGAAUACCGGUGGCGAAGGCGGCCCCCUGGACGAAGACUGACGCUCAGGUGCGAAAGCGUGGGGAGCAAACAGGAUUAGAUACCCUGGUAGUCCACGCCGUAAACGAUGUCGACUUGGAGGUUGUGCCCUUGAGGCGUGGCUUCCGGAGCUAACGCGUUAAGUCGACCGCCUGGGGAGUACGGCCGCAAGGUUAAAACUCAAAUGAAUUGACGGGGGCCCGCACAAGCGGUGGAGCAUGUGGUUUAACUCGAUGCAACGCGAAGAACCUUACCUGGUCUUGACAUCCACGGAAGUUUUCAGAGAUGAGAAUGUGCCUUCGGGAACCGUGAGACAGGUGCUGCAUGGCUGUCGUCAGCUCGUGUUGUGAAAUGUUGGGUUAAGUCCCGCAACGAGCGCAACCCUUAUCCUUUGUUGCCAGCGGUCCGGCCGGGAACUCAAAGGAGACUGCCAGUGAUAAACUGGAGGAAGGUGGGGAUGACGUCAAGUCAUCAUGGCCCUUACGACCAGGGCUACACACGUGCUACAAUGGCGCAUACAAAGAGAAGCGACCUCGCGAGAGCAAGCGGACCUCAUAAAGUGCGUCGUAGUCCGGAUUGGUGUCUGCAACUCGACUCCAUGAAGUCGGAAUCGCUUGUAAUCGUGGAUCAGAAUGCCACGGUGAAUACGUUCCCGGGCCUCGUACACACCGCCCGUCACACCAUGGGAGUGGGUUGCAAAAGAAGUAGGUAGCUUAACCUUCGGGAGGGCGCUUACCACUUUGUGAUUCAUGACUGGGGUGAAGUCGAACAAGGUAACCGUAGGGGAACCUGCGGUUG